CCCUUAGAUGUUCUGGGCCGCACGCGCGCUACACUGAUACGCUCAACGAGCUCCUUGGCCGAAAGGUCCGGGUAAUCUUUGAAAUCGUAUCGUGAUGGGGAUAGAACAUUGCAAUUUUUGUUCUUCAACGAGGAAUGCCUAGUAAGCGCGAGUCAUCAUCUCGCGUUGAUUACGUCCCUGCCCUUUGUACACACCGCCCGUCGCUCCUACCGAUUGGGUGUGCUGGUGAAAUGUUCGGAUCGGCCGUUUGUCGCGGUUUCCGCGUCAUGUGGCUGAGAAGUUCAUUAAACCCUCCCACCUAGAGGAAGGAGAAGUCGUAACA
Molecule: ribosomal RNA, 322 nt
Filed under: uncultured eukaryote
Lineage: Eukaryota
Description: partial 18S ribosomal RNA
Rfam family: Eukaryotic small subunit ribosomal RNA
Source: RNAcentral